UGCUCCUACGGGGCGCAGCAGUGAGGAAUAUUGGUCAAUGGGCGGGAGCCUGAACCAGCCAAGUCGCGUGAGGGAAGACGGUCCUAUGGAUUGUAAACCUCUUUAGGCGGGGAGCAAUGCCGGGCACGCGUGUCCGGGGGGAGAGUACCCGCAGAAUAAGCAUCGGCUAACUCCGUGCCAGCAGCCGCGGUAAUACGGAGGAUGCGAGCGUUAUCCGGAUUUGUUGGGUUUAAAGGGUGCGUAGGCGGAUUUU
RNAcentral lists this ribosomal RNA (253 nucleotides) under uncultured bacterium. RNAcentral describes it as "partial 16S ribosomal RNA". It matches the Rfam family "Bacterial small subunit ribosomal RNA", at positions 334 to 583 of the family's 1533-position model. The record is from RNAcentral.